CAAGCGAACAAGUGCAUGUGGUGGAUGCCUUGGCGAUCACAGGCGAUGAAGGACGCGGUAGCCUGCGAAAAGCUACGGGGAGCUGGCAAACGAGCUUUGAUCCGUAGAUGUCCGAAUGGGGAAACCCGGCCCUUUUGGGUCAUCCUAGACUGAAUACAUAGGUCUAGUGAAGCGAACGCGGUGAACUGAAACAUCUAAGUAACCGCAGGAAAAGAAAUCAACCGAGAUUCCCAAAGUAGUGGCGAGCGAAAUGGGAAGAGCCUGUACUCUUUAUUUGUAUUGUUAGCCGAACGCUCUGGAAAGUGCGGCCAUAGCAGGUGAUAGCCCUGUAGGCGAAAACAGUAUGAAAGAACUAGGUGUACGACAAGUAGGGCGGGACACGUGAAAUCCUGUCUGAAGAUGGGGGGACCAUCCUCCAAGGCUAAAUACUCGUGAUCGACCGAUAGUGAACCAGUACCGUGAGGGAAAGGCGAAAAGAACCCCGGGAGGGGAGUGAAAUAGAUCCUGAAACCGCAUGCAUACAAACAGUCGGAGCCUCUUCGGGGGUGACGGCGUACCUUUUGUAUAAUGGGUCAGCGACUUACGUUCAGUAGCAAGCUUAACCGAAUAGGGCAGGCGUAGCGAAAGCGAGUCCGAAUAGGGCGUUCAGUUGCUGGGCGUAGACCCGAAACCAGGUGAUCUAUCCAUGGCCAGGAUGAAGGUGCGGUAACACGUACUGGAGGUCCGAACCCACUAACGUUGAAAAGUUAGGGGAUGAGCUGUGGAUAGGGGUGAAAGGCUAAACAAACCUGGAAAUAGCUGGUUCUCUCCGAAAACUAUUUAGGUAGUGCCUCGUGUCUCACCUUCGGGGGUAGAGCACUGUCAUGGUUGGGGGGUCUAUUGCAGAUUACCCCGCCAUAGCAAACUCCGAAUACCGAAGAGUGCAAUCACGGGAGACAGACAUCGGGUGCUAACGUCCGGUGUCAAGAGGGAAACAACCCAGACCGCCAGCUAAGGUCCCCAAAUAUGGCUAAGUGGGAAACGAAGUGGGAAGGCUAAAACAGUCAGGAGGUUGGCUUAGAAGCAGCCACCCUUUAAAGAAAGCGUAAUAGCUCACUGAUCGAGUCGUCCUGCGCGGAAGAUGUAACGGGGCUAAGCCAUAUACCGAAGCUGCGGAUGCGAGCUAGUCUCGCAUGGUAGGAGAGCGUUCCGUAAGCCUGCGAAGGUGCGUUGAAAAGCGUGCUGGAGGUAUCGGAAGUGCGAAUGCUGACAUGAGUAGCGAUAAAGGGGGUGAAAGGCCCCCUCGCCGUAAGCCCAAGGUUUCCUACGCAACGUUCAUCGGCGUAGGGUGAGUCGGCCCCUAAGGCGAGGCAGAAAUGCGUAGCUGAUGGGAAGCAGGUCAAUAUUCCUGCACCAUUGUUAGAUGCGAUGGGGGGACGGAUCGCGGAAGGUUGUCCGGGUGUUGGAAGUCCCGGUCGCUGCAUUGGAGAAGGCGCUUAGGCAAAUCCGGGCGCAGGAUUCAAGGGUGUGGCGCGAGCGCUCUAGGGCGCGAAGCAAUUGGAAGUGGUUCCAAGAAAAGCCUCUAAGCUUCAGUCUAACGAUGACCGUACCGCAAACCGACACAGGUGGGCGAGAUGAGUAUUCUAAGGCGCUUGAGAGAACUCGGGAGAAGGAACUCGGCAAAUUGGUACCGUAACUUCGGGAUAAGGUACGCCCUGGUAGCUUGACUGGCCUGCGCCAGAAGGGUGAAGGGGUUGCAAUAAACUGGUGGCUGCGACUGUUUAAUAAAAACACAGCACUCUGCAAACACGAAAGUGGACGUAUAGGGUGUGACGCCUGCCCGGUGCCGGAAGAUUAAAUGAUGGGGUGCAAGCUCUUGAUUGAAGUCCCGGUAAACGGCGGCCGUAACUAUAACGGUCCUAAGGUAGCGAAAUUCCUUGUCGGGUAAGUUCCGACCUGCACGAAUGGCGUAACGAUGGCCACACUGUCUCCUCCCGAGACUCAGCGAAGUUGAAGUGUUUGUGAUGAUGCAAUCUACCCGCGGCUAGACGGAAAGACCCCAUGAACCUUUACUGUAGCUUUGCAUUGGACUUUGAACCGAUCUGUGUAGGAUAGGUGGGAGGCUAUGAAACCGGAACGCUAGUUUCGGUGGAGCCGUCCUUGAAAUACCACCCUGGUUUGUUUGAGGUUCUAACCUUGGCCCGUGAUCCGGGUCGGGGACAGUGCAUGGUAGGCAGUUUGACUGGGGCGGUCUCCUCCCAAAGCGUAACGGAGGAGUACGAAGGUACGCUAGGUACGGUCGGAAAUCGUGCUGAUAGUGCAAUGGCAUAAGCGUGCUUAACUGCGAGACCGACAAGUCGAGCAGGUGCGAAAGCAGGUCAUAGUGAUCCGGUGGUUCUGUAUGGAAGGGCCAUCGCUCAACGGAUAAAAGGUACUCUGGGGAUAACAGGCUGAUACCGCCCAAGAGUUCAUAUCGACGGCGGUGUUUGGCACCUCGAUGUCGGCUCAUCUCAUCCUGGGGCUGUAGCCGGUCCCAAGGGUAUGGCUGUUCGCCAUUUAAAGAGGUACGUGAGCUGGGUUUAAAACGUCGUGAGACAGUUUGGUCCCUAUCUGCCGUGGGCGUUGGAAGUUUGAAGGGGGCUGCUCCUAGUACGAGAGGACCGGAGUGGACGAACCUCUGGUGUACCGGUUGUGACGCCAGUCGCAUCGCCGGGUAGCUAUGUUCGGAAGAGAUAACCGCUGAAAGCAUCUAAGCGGGAAACUCGCCUUAAGAUGAGACUUCCCCGGGGACUUGAUCCCCUUGAAGGGUCGUUCGAGACCAGGACGUUGAUAGGUCGGGUGUGUAAGCGCAGUAAUGCGUUCAGCUAACCGAUACUAAUUGCCCGUACGGCUUGAUCC
This 2877-nucleotide ribosomal RNA is filed under the name Burkholderia pseudomallei MSHR5569. RNAcentral's name for it is "bacterial LSU rRNA". It matches the Rfam family "Bacterial large subunit ribosomal RNA". Lineage: Bacteria; Pseudomonadati; Pseudomonadota; Betaproteobacteria; Burkholderiales; Burkholderiaceae. The record is from RNAcentral. RNAcentral also lists the same sequence under 1 other name.